RNAcentral lists this ribosomal RNA (227 nucleotides) under uncultured Bacteroidaceae bacterium. RNAcentral describes it as "partial 16S ribosomal RNA". It matches the Rfam family "Bacterial small subunit ribosomal RNA", at positions 383 to 607 of the family's 1533-position model. Lineage: Bacteria; Pseudomonadati; Bacteroidota; Bacteroidia; Bacteroidales; Bacteroidaceae. The record is from RNAcentral.
CUGAACCAGCCAAGUAGCGUGAAGGAUGCAGGCUCUAUGGGUCGUAAAAUUCUUUUAUAGAAGAAUAAAGUGCAGUAUUUAUACUGUUUUGUAUGUCUUAUAUGAAUAAGGAUCGGCUCACUCCGUGAAAGCAGCCGCGGUAAUACGGAGGAUCCGAGCGUUAUCCGGAUUUAUUGGGUUUAAAGGGAGCGUAGGUGGACUGGUAAGUCAGUUGUGAAAGUUUGCGG